AUUCACUGCAUCCUGUGCAUCUCUCUGUAUAAUUUCACCAUUAGCAUACUGAAUAAAAACAAUGUAAAAAUAAUACAAAUUCCAGUAAGCCUCUACGUCUACAUUCAAACUCAAGACACUUUACUUUCCAAGUGGUAUAUCUAAUGAGCCUCAUCGCCUCAAAUCCCAAGUUUUGGAUGUCAGCAAAGGCAGUUCAUUAUAAGCAGUUUCAUUUGGUCAAGGACAACUGAAAAUUGGAAUUUGGACAGAAUAUCAAAAGGCUAAGGGGCUGUUCAUUUGUGGAAAACUGAGGUAGUUUUCUAGAAAAGUUUUCUAAUAAAACUAGAAAACUGAGUUUUGUGUUCAUAUGUGCCAAUUUUCCAAAACUUAACUAAGAUUUGGAAAAGAGCUUUAAGUUGUUUUCCAUUGUCUUCCCUUAUAACAAAAGUUUUGUUUUCCAACAAUUUUAUAAAUGGAAAACGAUGACUUUUUUUAUAACCAAAAUUAUAUUAUAACUUUUUUAUAACUAAAACUGAAUAAUUAUUUAAGAAAAUAUUCAAUUACAAUGAUAAAAAAAAAUUAAUCAUA
RNAcentral lists this unclassified non-coding RNA (567 nucleotides) under Hevea brasiliensis (rubber tree). Lineage: Eukaryota; Viridiplantae; Streptophyta; Magnoliopsida; Malpighiales; Euphorbiaceae. The record is from RNAcentral.